UGUAAUGCUGAGGGCCUAGCAAGUGUCC
This 28-nucleotide non-coding RNA is filed under the name Mus musculus (house mouse). Lineage: Eukaryota; Metazoa; Chordata; Mammalia; Rodentia; Muridae. The record is from RNAcentral.